GCAAAAGUUGUCAAUCUCCUGUGGGCAAAGAAAUUAUAGAAGUUAUAGAACAGUUGGGCAGUGACAACCAGAUUCUUCUCUCAAUAAAAGGCAAGGAAUGCUGCAAGAUCCUCCAAUUAUUAUGGUUGAGUUAAGAAAGUGCAACAUUGUAAAAUUUUAGAACAUCUAUAAAAAGGGGAUCCAGGGGAAUUCGUACCUCUGCCCGUAGGCG
This 211-nucleotide unclassified non-coding RNA is filed under the name Hevea brasiliensis (rubber tree). Lineage: Eukaryota; Viridiplantae; Streptophyta; Magnoliopsida; Malpighiales; Euphorbiaceae. The record is from RNAcentral.